Molecule: ribosomal RNA, 360 nt
Filed under: uncultured bacterium
Lineage: Bacteria
Description: bacterial SSU rRNA
Rfam family: Bacterial small subunit ribosomal RNA
Source: RNAcentral
UUGCGGGAGCUUGCUCCCAAAAGUUAGCGGCGGACGGGUGAGUAACACGUGGGCAACCUGCCUAUAAGACUGGGAUAACUUCGGGAAACCGGAGCUAAUACCAGAUAAUUCUUUUCUACACAUGUAGAAAAGCUAAAAGACGGUUUACGCUGUCACUUAUAGAUGGGCCCGCGGCGCAUUAGUUAGUUGGUGAGGUAACGGCUCACCAAGGCCACGAUGCGUAGCCGACCUGAGAGGGUGAUCGGCCACACUGGGACUGAGACACGGCCCAGACUCCUACGGGAGGCAGCAGUAGGGAAUCUUCCGCAAUGGACGAAAGUCUGACAGAGCAACGCCGCGUGAGUGAUGAAGGUUUUCGGA